RNAcentral lists this long non-coding RNA (532 nucleotides) under Pogona vitticeps (central bearded dragon). RNAcentral describes it as "lncRNA (ENSPVIG00000009964.1)". The record is from RNAcentral. Lineage: Eukaryota; Metazoa; Chordata; Lepidosauria; Squamata; Agamidae.
AUGAGGUGGCAAGGAAUCUCUGAAAUGUGCUUGAUCCUCUUUGGGAGCCUGAAGCGUGAGUCACUGCUGUGGCUAGAACGUGACUCACUCCUGCCACUCUUUAGGAAGCUCACCCAGAAGCUAGAGAGCAGGAAAUGGAGGCCAGGAAGUAUCUACCUCUUUUGCACCCCAUCUCAUUCUGAGGCCAAACAGUGUGUGAUCAUUAUUAUUAUGUUUAUUACUGUGAUUAUUAUUGUUCAUGUUAUUAUUGUUGCCCUUUUGAUCAGUUCGGUCCAUUCCUCUUAUUGUGUGUAAGGCUUCAUCUCCCCUUAACUCUGUGCUUGUGUCUCCCUUCCCCUUCCAAUUCAGUUUAAAGCUCUCCUGAUGAAGUUCUUCAUGCUGUGGGCAAACACAUUCUUCCCAGUCCUUGUUAGAUGCAAGCCGUCUCUUGCUAGCUGUCCUUCUUCCAGGACGCUUAGAACAUGGUCCCAAAAACCAAAUCCCUCUCGUCAACACCACCUUCAUAGCCAGUUAUUCACCCAGAGGAUCUUCC